Molecule: long non-coding RNA, 374 nt
Organism: Pezoporus flaviventris
Lineage: Eukaryota; Metazoa; Chordata; Aves; Psittaciformes; Psittacidae
Exons: 2
Source: RefSeq, a predicted model, not a curated record
ACAAGGAAUUCAUUAUUAAAGGACUGCAUUUUUAAAACCACAACAAAGAAAACUAUACAGCUCACUCCUUUCGUAAGAUGAAAGGUGCUUUGUGUCUGGUUUGGUGUUUUGGUUUUCUUUGUUGGGUUUUUUUUUUUAAGACAUGGUGAAACUAUUCAUUUGAACCAAGUAUAAUAGCUUUUAUUUAUUAAUAUUAAACUGUUUACAUGGCACCACUUCAGAACAACCAGUUAUUUCUAGCCUUGAAAAAUAAACAGCUCUUCUCAUGCAAGUUUCUUUUCCUGCCAUAUUAACAAGUGAAAAACUACAUACAAGUAUGCAUAUAUCUUGUUUCCAGAGGGCAAUUAAGCUAAAUUACUGAUUUAUGCAGAAAA